RNAcentral lists this ribosomal RNA (32 nucleotides) under Musa itinerans. Its description in RNAcentral is "partial 26S ribosomal RNA". Lineage: Eukaryota; Viridiplantae; Streptophyta; Magnoliopsida; Zingiberales; Musaceae. The record is from RNAcentral.
GCGACCCCAAGGCAGAUGGAGUCGAGCUUGCC